CUGGCGGCGUGCUUAAUACAUGCAAGUCAACUUGACUUUAGAUAGCAAUAUCGAAAGUAGGGUGGCGCACGGGUGCGUAACGCGUAGGUAAUCUGCCCUGAGGUCUGACAUAACCCGUCGAAAGGCGGGCUAACAUCAGAUGAUAUAUAAUCACGACAUCGUGGAAAUAUCAAAUCUUCGGAGCCUUGGGAUGAGCCUGCGUCUGAUUAGGUAGUUGGCGGAGUAAUAGCCCACCAAGCCUACGAUCAGUAGCUGGUCUGAGAGGAUGAUCAGCCACACUGGAACUGAGACACGGUCCAGACUCCUACGGGAGGCAGCAGUAAGGAAUAUUGCUCAAUGGGGGGAAACCCUGAAGCAGCAACGCCGCGUGAAGGAUGAAAUACUUUUGUAUGUAAACUUCUGUAAGAUGGGAAAAAUAUUCUCCUCGGGAGAAUUGAUUGUACCAUCAGAGUAAGCCCCGGCUAACUACGUG
Molecule: ribosomal RNA, 472 nt
Filed under: uncultured bacterium
Lineage: Bacteria
Description: bacterial SSU rRNA
Rfam family: Bacterial small subunit ribosomal RNA
Source: RNAcentral